CCUAGAGUUGCAGGCUUUGCCUGCCAUCUCUUACCUAUGUCUUUUGAUGUACCUUACGUUUCCUCGGCGUGGUCCGCCCGCCGACUAGACAAACUUAAACCACCUGCAGUUGAAAUCAGCGUCUGAAAAAACUUAAUAGUUACAACUUUCAACAACAGAUCUCUUGGUUCUGGCAUCAAUGAAGAACGCAGCGAAAUGCGAUAAGUAGUGUGAAUUGCAGAAUUUAGUGAAUCAUCAAAUCUUUGAACGCACAUUGCGCCCCUUGGUAUUCCAUGGGGCAUGCCUGUUCGAGCGCCAUUUGUACCUUCAAGCCUUGCUUGGUGUUAGGUGUUUGUCUCGCCUCUGCGCGCAGACUCGCCUCAAAACAAUUGGCAGCCGGCGUAUUGAUUUCGGAGCGCAGUACAUCUUUGCGCUUUGCACUCACCACGGCGGCGUCCAAAAGUACAUUUUUACACUCUUGACCUUGGAUCAGGUAGGGAUACCCCGCUGAACUUAAGCAUAUCAAUAAGCGGAGGAAUCGGCAUCUUGGUCAUUUAGAGGAAGUAAAAGUCGUAACAAGGUUUCCGUAGGUGAACCUGCGGAAGGAUCAUUAAAGAAUUUAAAGAGUGCACUUCAUUGUGGCUCGACAUUUUCUACAAUUCACCCUAGUGCACUGUAAUACCUUUUUUUAAUUAACUCUACAAAGUUAUGAAUGUAACACCUUUUUUAUAAAGAAAUA
This 718-nucleotide unclassified non-coding RNA is filed under the name soil metagenome. RNAcentral's name for it is "partial contains internal transcribed spacer 1, 5.8S ribosomal RNA, and internal transcribed spacer 2". The stretch from base 144 to 297 matches the Rfam family "5.8S ribosomal RNA". The record is from RNAcentral.